AGCUUGCUCCGAGGAUGCACGAGUCGGGGACGGGUUGCAGUNAUUCGUCUCGGUGAAACUUGCCUGAUGGAGUGGGGAUCAACUACUGGAAACUGGUAUGCUCAAUACCAGUAUAACGUCUGGAAAGACCAAAGAGGGGGACCUUCGGGCCCCUUGCCAAUCAGGAUCGUGGCCCAGAUGGGGGUUAGCUUAGGUAAGUGGGGGUCAACUGGUCAACUUAAGGCAACGAUCCCUGAGGCUGGUCUCGAGGAGGAUCGACCAGCAAGACUUGGGAAACUUGAGAACAACGGGUCCCAAGAAUCUCCUCAACNGGGGCAAGGGCCAAGCCAACGUGGGGGGAAAAUGCAUCUGGCCACAAACUUGGGGGGCCGGGCAAUGGCCCUUCGGAAUGGCCAGUGCCCCAUUGGCCCUGGCGGUUCGGUCAUGCGAAAUGGAAACGUGGCCCUUCUCCNGGGGGGUUCANGGUACACAAGGGUNCACUUCUGUCCAAGCGCGGGGGGGGCAAGGAGAAAAGGGUCGUCUCGGAUCGGGUACCAGAAGAAGUGUAAAAACGCCCCCCAAGCAAAGGGGCAGAAAAACUCCUGGGAAACAGGGUUCGUA
This 600-nucleotide ribosomal RNA is filed under the name uncultured bacterium. Its description in RNAcentral is "partial 16S ribosomal RNA". The record is from RNAcentral.